Suncus etruscus (white-toothed pygmy shrew) is the source of this 1418-nucleotide non-coding RNA. The record is from the annotation of a RefSeq genome assembly. NCBI's taxonomy places the organism in Eukaryota, Metazoa, Chordata, Mammalia, Eulipotyphla, Soricidae.
UUGAUAUCUGGGGCCAAGGAACCAUGGUCACCGUCUCCUCAGAGUCCAGCUCAGCUCCACUCCUCUUCCCUCUUGUCUCCUGUGAUUCGUCACUGCCGGAUGAGACACAAGUGACCCUGGGCUGUCUGGCCCGUAACUUUUUGCCCCUGCCCAUCACCUUCUCCUGGAAAUUCAAGAACAGCUCCAGCAUCAGCAGCCAGAACAUCUACAGUUUCCCUGAGGUCCUCACCGGUGGCAAGUACAUGGCCACAUCCCAGGUGCUGCUGCCAUCCAUGGCCGUCCUGCAGAGCACCGAUGAUUACAUAACGUGCCAUACCAAGCACGUCACAGGGGACAAAGAAAAGAACGUGCAUCUACAAGUCAUCCCAGAGCUGCCCCCGAAUGUGAGCGUCUUCAUCCCACCCCGAAACUCCUUCUCCGGCAACCACCCACGCACGUCCCAGCUUAUCUGUCAGGCCUCCGGCUUCAGUCCCCGCACCAUCGUCAUGUCCUGGUUGCAGAGGGGUGAACCGGUGCAGCCCAGCUUAGUGUCGACCAGUGCUGUGGAGGCUGAGCCCAAGGGCUCGGGGCCCACUACCUUCAGGGUCAUCAGCAGACUGACCAUCACCGAGAAUGAAUGGCUCAGCCAGAAAGAGUUCACCUGCCAAGCACUCCACAAGGGCCUCACCUACCAGAAGAAUGUGUCAUCUGUGUGCAUGGGCGAUGACACUUCCACCGGAAUCAGUGUGUUCCUGCUGCCCCCCUCCUUUGCCAACAUCUUCCUCACCCAGUCGGCCCAGCUGACCUGCCUGGUCACGGGGCUGGCCACCUACAACAGCCUGGAUAUCUCAUGGAGCCGCCAGAAUGGGGAAGCCCUGGAGACACACGUCAACAUCUCCGAGAGUCACCCCAACUCCACCUUCACCGCCAAGGGCCACGCCAGCGUGUGCCGCGAGGACUGGGAGUCAGGGGAGAAGUUCACGUGCACUGUGCAGCACUCCGACCUGCCCUCACCACUGAAACAGAGCCUCUCCAGGCCCAAGAAUGUGGCGAAGCACCCGCCUUCCGUGUUCAUGCUGCCACCUGCCCAGGAGCAGCUGAAGUUGCGUGAGUCUGCCUCUAUCACCUGCCUGGUGAAGGACUUUUCGCCACCCGAUGUUUUCGUCCAGUGGCAGCAUCACGGGCAACCUGUGGACCCCAAGCAUUAUGUGACCAGCAACCCUACACCUGAGCCCCAGAGCCCUGGCCUCUACUUCGUCCACAGCAUCCUGACGGUGAGCGAGAAGGACUGGAGCUCUGGAGAGUCCUUCUCCUGCGUCGUGGUCCACGAGGCCCUGCCCCUGUCAGUGACCGAGAAGGCUGUGGACAAGACGUCUGGUAAACCCACCCUGUACAACGUGUCUCUCGUCCUGUCUGACACCGCCAGCACCUGCUACUGA